RNAcentral lists this long non-coding RNA (2943 nucleotides) under Monodelphis domestica (gray short-tailed opossum). Its description in RNAcentral is "lncRNA (ENSMODG00000032254.2)". The record is from RNAcentral. Lineage: Eukaryota; Metazoa; Chordata; Mammalia; Didelphimorphia; Didelphidae.
AUGGGUCAGGGAGCCUGCAGACGGUCAGACUUCCGGUGCUUGCAGGGCGCCCAUGGUCAGGGGCAGAGAACGCGUGUGCUGGUGUGUGGAGGUCCGGGAGCCACACUGCCCCGGGCACGUCAGUACCGGAAGGAAAGAAAAGCCUCCAAUAGUGCAAUGGGGAGAAGACACAAGAAACUGCCAAAUGCUAACCAGGCUCAGCUCCUGCCCAAAGGCUAUCACCCAGCUAAGAAGGUGGUGAUCCCGUGCUCUCCACACCGCAGCAUAUCACUAUGCCCUCAAGAUUACCAGUCUCGCUCUGCACUGAUGCCUCGUCUCAACCAUCAGAGCAGAACCAAGGGGUCAUCGCGUCCUGACCAUAAGACCUCAGCGACCUUCUCUCGGAACCCCAAACUUGGGUCUGAGCCUGCUCAGUUACCUCAGGCUGUCCAACAGGCUGGAGUCAUGCCACGGCACCAAGGCAACCACCAGGCCCCAAUCACCCCGGCAACAGGCACUGCAGUUUUGACCUUGCCCUGUCCUGACUCCUGGGCCAGGGUAUCUGCUCCACCUUUCCCACACUCCGAAUGCCCAGCAGCACUUCCACUGGGCUCUAACCACCAUGUGGAGACGCCAUCCGCCCCCGAUCAUUUUGUAAAACCUCCAUCAGAUUCUGACCACCUUCCAAUGAUUUCCAAUGGCUGUGACCAUCGAGCAGAGGAUCAAUCAUGUCCAGAUCACAAGCCCAAGACCAUGCCUGUGCCAACACUAAACCACAACUUCCAGCCCUCCGCUGUACUAUUACAACGGCCUAGUCCAUGGACAUCAGCUUCACAAGGGAGCAGGUCUCGGCCCAAGAUAGCAUCUUCCCUAGAGAGGUACCUCAACCACUGGCACAGGGCCAUAUUUUCCCCAUUAACAUGUGCUGAUUGGCCUGGAGCUACACCAUCAGAUCCUGAUCCUUGUGUCAAAGGAAUCACUUCAAGAACCUCAUGUCCUGACCAGUUUUUAAGGCCCAAAACUGCACUGUUACGGCAUCCUGAACACAACCCCUGGAUCCUCAAGGCUCCCACUUCAUCGUGCUCCAUUCAACAGGUCAGAACCACAUCUGUGCCAUCACCAUGCCCUAACAACAGGGAAAUUACCACCACAUUUGUACCCGUCCAAUUCCCUGCUAGCCCAGCUGAGAAUCCACCAGGCCUUCAUUUUGAAGCUCAGGAUUCUACUAUACCAUCAGCAGUACAACCUGACCUCCAGGAUAUACCUCUACCAAACCUCAGUGGCACUACAGAAGCUCCUCUGAUCAUUCCGAAUCACUUACAAAAUAAAGAGCCUUCUUGUAAUUCUGCACACCAGGCCAAGACUCUUCUCAAUUCUGACCACUGGCCUAUGGUUUUACCACACCUCAAUUGCUGGGCUACACCACAAUCAUCUCCUGACCAGUCAGUUGUCCAAUACAUAGACCACCAAACAAAACCACCACUGAGACCUGACAGGCACAAGCUUGUGGCUCCACCAAGUCCUGACACAAUCUUUACUGAGAGUCUUUCUCCUCUCAAAAUUUGGGCUAUGCCUCUACCAGACUCUGAACAUGAGAUGGAGGUUCUCCCAACUGCCAACAAACUGGCUAGACCUCCAGCUGUCCCCAACCAAUGGCUUAAAGCUAUGUCAGGUCCUAAUGCUUGGGAAGAGGUGUCAAUGGAUUGUAAUCAUUGCAUAAAAGCUCCAUUAGAUACUUACCAAGAAAAGAUAGAAUCAGAUCCCAAUCAUUGUGCCAAGGCUCCACUAGAUACUUACCAACAAGGUAAGAUAGCAUCACAUCCCAAUGAUUGGGCCCAAGCUCCAUUAGAUUUUUACAAACACGAGGAGAUGGCAUCCCAUCCCAGACACUGGGACAAUGCUGCCUUGCAGUCAGAUUGCAGAGUCACGGCUCUACAAAGCCCUCACUGCCAAGACCAGAUUCCACCAGACAAAGAGCACCAGGCUGAUGCUGUUUCUACUGAACAUUGUGACAACACUGUUAUGGUUCUUGAUAACUGGGUCACGACUCUAUCAGACACUGACCAACAAGUGGAGAUUGAAUCUGACGCCAUCCACUGGGGCAAGGCUACAGUGGAUCCACACCACAAUUCCAUAGGACCACUGAGUCCUGAUAACCAGACCCUAAUUUCACCAGAUGUUGGGCUUCAGAAUGAGGAUAUACCAGAUCUAGAACAUCAAAAUGGCACCAAAAUAGUCCAAGACAUGAUCACCAAGUCUCUCCCAGCUUCUUGCCAUUGGGUUGAGGCUAUACCAGAUCCCAAACAUUAUAUCACACCAGUAGACCUACACUAUGAAACCAAGACUAAAAUUGGGCUCAAGAAUACUAUCAUGGAUACACCAGGUCAUGAUCAUGCAGUUGUACUUCCAGUUAUUCCUGAACACCAAAAUGAGGACAUACUAAAGUUCUGCCAUCAGAAAGAUGCUGAAUCCUUACUAGAUCUGGAUUAUGAGUCCAAAUUUGUAAGUGACCAAGAAUCCAUAGACAUUUUGGACUCAGACCAUCAGUCUAAAGCUCAGGAGGUUCCAGUCUAUGGGGCCCUACUUCCUCUGAUACCGGACUGCCAGGAAGAAAAUUUAUCAGACUACAAUGACCAGGAUGAUGAUGUACUAUUACUUCCAAGCUCUGAUACAGAAACUCUACCUCCAUCAGAUCUGGACAAUGAUGGUAAGAUUCCACUGAGGACAAACUAUCAGUCUAACAUACUCCCAGCCUUUGAUCAUCAGACUGAAGAGGCACUGGAUGCCCCAAACCAGGUAACUCUUCCCUCCAUCCUGGAUAAGGAUUUUGAGAUUUUAUUGAAUUCUGAUAAUUGUAACAAAACUCUCUUAUUUUCCCAACACCAAACUAUGCUGUCACCUGACAAACCAAAAUUAAGACAGCCUUCAUCAUGCUCUGAAAAAGGAAGAUUCUGGACACAGUAG